AAUCAACGCUGGCGGCGUGCCUCAGACAUGCAAGUCGAACGCGAAAGUUCCCUUCGGGGAAUAAGUAGAGUGGCGCACGGGUGAGUAACACGUAGGUAAUCUACCUUCGGGUGGGGAAUAACCCAGGGAAACUUGGGCUAACACCGCAUGAUGCAGCGGCACCACAUGGUGACAGUUGUUAAAGCGGGGGAGUUUUCGGACCUCGCGCCUGAAGAGGAGCCUGCGGCGGAUUAGCAGUUGGUGAGGUAACGGCUCACCAAGGUCACGAUCCGUAGCCGGCCUGAGAGGGCGGUCGGCCACACUGACACUGACAUACGGGUCAGACUCCUACGGGAGGCAGCAGUCGGGAAUUUUGGGCAAUGGGCGAAAGCCUGACCCAGCAACGCCGCGUGAAGGAUGAAAUCCCUCGGGAUGUAAACUUCGCAAGAAUGGGAAGAAUGAACGAGCGCUAAUACCGUUCGUGAUGACGGUACCAUUUGUAAGCUCCGGCUAACUCCGUG
This 500-nucleotide ribosomal RNA is filed under the name uncultured bacterium. RNAcentral's name for it is "bacterial SSU rRNA". It matches the Rfam family "Bacterial small subunit ribosomal RNA", at positions 32 to 507 of the family's 1533-position model. The record is from RNAcentral.